Molecule: long non-coding RNA, 991 nt
Organism: Diorhabda sublineata
Lineage: Eukaryota; Metazoa; Arthropoda; Insecta; Coleoptera; Chrysomelidae
Exons: 2
Source: RefSeq, a predicted model, not a curated record
AGCGUCCUUCCGUGUUGUAACCUGACAGCCAACAGUCCUCUGAUUUGCUUUGAACUAAAGAAGAGAUUCUACAAAAAAGGGAAGAAGAGCUAAAAAGAUAUGAGAAGAUUAAAAACGACCCUCAGAAAAGGGAACUAGAAAGCUUGUAGAGAAUAUGACUCCACGAGAACACCGAAAUGCCAAGAAGUGGAAAGAGUAUUGCACCAAGUAUCGUAAUAAGAAAAAAGUAUUAGCAAAUAUUACUAAAUCAAUUAUCAAAGAAAAUACUUUAGAUUCUGAUGUAUCUAUUUCAUGUCAAAUGUCAACACCUAAAGUUGCUGAAAUAAUUAAUAAAAAUAAAGAAAAUAUGCUUAAAUAUAAAAUAAAGAAGAAAAAAGAUGAAGAAAUGUAGAAGAAAGUGUUGAAGUACAAAAAACGUUUAUUGCAACUAAAAAAGAGUAUAAAUCCAAAGCCUAAAGAUACACCAAAUACAAAAAAAGGCAAAUACUCCAGAAUCAAGGAAAGAUCUGGAUAUUAUAUUGUUGUGAAAUUGCUUGGCAGAACAAAUAUGGAAUAUAGAAAUGCGAACAUAAUUGACAAGAUUGAUGAAGAAGAUGACGAAAUCCGGGUUACAUUCUUAAAGCUCUGUGAUAAUAAAGGCCGAUUAUUUAGAUACGAUGAUGAUGAUGUGGCAGACAUUACAAUGGGCCAAGUGGUACAGAAGCUGUACCCAAUAUAGUUUAAAAGGCAAUAGAAUGUUUUACAAGUUUGAUUCAUACAUUAAAUACUGUUUUUUGCCUAUUUAUGCUAUAUUUUAGAAAUAACUAUUUUUUCGAAACUGAUUCUCUGGUGUAAGUUUCAAAGUACAAGAAUUCCUUUCAUAUAUGCGAUUUUAAUUAAUUUAAUUAAUUGUAAUUAAUUUUAAAUAGUUGAUUCUUUAAUUUUUUAUUAUUCAGUUACUUAAUUCUCCAAAGUUUAUAAUAGUAAAAAACAUUUAAUUUCAAUACUAAAA